This 274-nucleotide long non-coding RNA is filed under the name Lathyrus oleraceus (garden pea). RNAcentral describes it as "Pisum sativum (pea) long non-coding RNA (PSAT_LNC040353)". Lineage: Eukaryota; Viridiplantae; Streptophyta; Magnoliopsida; Fabales; Fabaceae. The record is from RNAcentral.
UUCAUUCAACUCAUGGAGAAUUGAAGAUCUAAAUCGAAACAAAAUCACAUUUCUUGAUUUUGUGGGAUUGAGAAACACUAGUGUUGGUGAGAUCUGAGUGAAUUUGCACAAGAAUGAAGAUGAACGGAGGAAAUGGUAGCUUGAACACAAAGCUUCCAGUAUUUGAUGGAAAGAAUGUAAUCAGUGGAUGAUUCAGAUGCGUGUGUUGUUUGGUGCUCAAGAUUUUCUUGAUCUCGUCAAUGACAGUUACAUGGCGGUUGCAGCAGAUGCAACG